CCUGCCCGGUGCAUUUUGUAAACGGCCGCCCUAGCGUGAGGGUGCGAAGGUAGCGAAAUUCCUUGCCUUUUAAUUGUAGGCCUGCAUGAAUGGUUCGACGAGGGCUUAACUGUUUCUUAUCUUUUAUAGUGAAAUUGAAAUAAAGGUGAAGAUGCCUUUAUAAUGAAAUUAGACAAAAAGACCCCGUGCAACUUUUAAAGAUCAGUGAAUUAAGAAGCUGUGAAAUUUUUAGGUGGGGCGCCUAAUAAGUAAACUUAACCUUAUAAGCAAAUUAAACCCACUGGUUUAGACCCGACACAUUGUCGAUCGAAGGAGAAGUUACGCCGGGGAUAACAGGCUUAUCCAGUGGUAGAGCUCGUAUUGGCCACUGGGAUUGGCACCUCGAUGUUGAAUCAGGGAUGAUAGCUUUAAGGCGUAGAAGCUUUGAAAGUGGGUCUGUUCGACCUUUAAUACCCUACGUGAUCU
Molecule: ribosomal RNA, 465 nt
Filed under: Striostrea margaritacea
Lineage: Eukaryota; Metazoa; Mollusca; Bivalvia; Ostreida; Ostreidae
Description: partial 16S ribosomal RNA
Rfam family: Bacterial large subunit ribosomal RNA
Source: RNAcentral